GACGAACGCUGGCGGCGUGCUUAACACAUGCAAGUCGAACGGAAAGGCCCUGCUUUUGUGGGGUUCUCGAGUGGCGAACGGGUGAGUAACACGUGAGUAACCUGCCCUUGACUUUGGGAUAACUUCAGGAAACUGGGGCUAAUACCGGAUAGGAGCUCCUGCUGCAUGGUGGGGGUUGGAAAGUUUCGGCGGUUGGGGAUGGACUCGCGGCUUAUCAGCUUGUUGGUGGGGUAGUGGCUUACCAAGGCUUUGACGGGUAGCCGGCCUGAGAGGGUGACCGGCCACAUUGGGACUGAGAUACGGCUCAGACUCCUACGGGAGGCAGCAGUGGGGAAUAUUGCACAAUGGGCGGAAGCCUGAUGCAGCAACGCCGCGUGCGGGAUGACGGCCUUCGGGUUGUAAACCGCUUUCGCCUGUGACGAAGCGUGAGUGACGGUAAUGGGUAAAGAAGCACCGGCUAACUACGUG
RNAcentral lists this ribosomal RNA (468 nucleotides) under uncultured bacterium. Its description in RNAcentral is "partial 16S ribosomal RNA". It matches the Rfam family "Bacterial small subunit ribosomal RNA", at positions 28 to 507 of the family's 1533-position model. The record is from RNAcentral.